CACCCCGCGGCCCUGAGGUGAAGUUAUUUAUAAACGCCUCCCUGGAUUAUUUGAGCAGAGCCCUUUCACACACCUCAGAACACCUUCUGGCUGCCCGCUGCCCAGACACACCUGCAGCCCUGCCCAGCCUGCUCUGCUCACCCACCGAUGUCCUCCGUCACUCCUUCAGCUCAGGCACUUGGUGCAGACCACAAGGAAUCCUGCUCGUCCCCAUUAACCCUGAGAAGCUGGAAGAGGUAGAGGAGA
RNAcentral lists this long non-coding RNA (246 nucleotides) under Fukomys damarensis (Damara mole-rat). Its description in RNAcentral is "lncRNA (ENSFDAG00000026982.1)". The record is from RNAcentral. Lineage: Eukaryota; Metazoa; Chordata; Mammalia; Rodentia; Bathyergidae.